CGCCCUGCCGGAGACAGCGGCGAGAGGCGGCCCCGGGAGCAGCGAGAGGAGGGACAGAGCGUCCCCCGCCCGCCCCACGGCGCGCGGCCAUGGCGGCCCGCGGGCCGGGGCCGCUGCCGAACCGUGUUCACAAGUGCCGCAUCUACACGGAACGGUUUGGUUUUGUUUGCCACCCAAACAUCGUUGAGUUUUGGGAUUGCUCCAUUUACAGCGGGUUUAUCGAUACUCCUCAGUGACAUGCUGCAUCAGGAAUCAGAACUUUCAGGUCCAUGAAAGCUGUUGUCACUGAUGAGCUCUUCUGAGACCUACAGCUCAGAGCUGGAGCCUGGGCAGGGUAGGAACAGGAAGCCACUAUCUGUCCAUGCACCAGGAUUUACAGACACAAGCUGCUUUACAAGAAAAUCUGCAACAGAUAAGUAUUUUCCCUUGCUGCAAAGAACGUCCAAGCCUCAUUUUCAGUGACACACUACAGGAAAUGAAGAUUAUAUUUGAUUUAUAGUAGUCUCAGAGGAACAGAAGUGUUUCUUUUGCAUUUACCAGCACAUACAAGCCCUCUUUUUCAAGAUGCUACUUAUGGCAAUAAAGAAGCAAUAAGAAAAGCCUACAAAUAUUCUCCAGUAUAAGAGACAUUUUGCAUCUUUCCAGCAAUAACAGUCACCCUUUCCUCUUACUGGAAACAAAAUUCCCUUUAGGAAGGAAGUCAGGAUUGACCAAGCAGAUGUGCGUUAUUCCCGAAAGCAGAGCUUGCCCCAGAUGUGGUGGGGCUGCACUGCUGAGAAGAGGUGUCCCAAACCCCCCACAUCUUCUCAGCAAUGCACAAAUCUUCAGACAAGAGAUAAAUGUAGUGUGUUUCCCAUCACUAACCCUGAAUAGUUUUCAGUAACUUCAUGGUCAUGUGUUUACUAAUUACUUUCAACAUCUGCAAUGUAUAUUUAAAACAAUGGCAUUUGUCCUGGCUGACGCUGCUCUUUACAAAGUGACAUCUCAUCUGAUUUCCCAAGAAUUACAUGGGAAAGAGAUCUACCAGGGUCCUGGUACACCACAAUCUGUGGAAGGAGGCUAACUCUGGAAAAGGACAAAAUUAAACUAUAGUUCUCCUGAAGGAAACAUGAUGUAGAAUGGACCAUUAGGCAUGAAACAAUGUGGAUUUCCUAUAGCUUCCCCCCAUCCUGCCUAUCCAAGCUUUAAUAUGUUAUGUUCUCAAGAUCUGUCCAUAGCAUUAAAGAGAACUAUUUAAAGUGGCAUGGCCUAAGCACAUAUUCAGUGAGAUCUUCUGAUGAGUGGGAUAAUCAAACUCAUCUACAUGACAUUUUAAACUUUGGGAAAGGGCCUCCAUUGCCCAUAUUUACUGCCCUGGAACACCAUUAACAUGGGGUUACGGCUGUCUAGUGACACCACAGUGUUCUCUGCAAAGCUAAAUCCAGAAAAGAAGGUGCUGAAGGGUUGAGUGCUCAGCAGCUCACCAGUGCAGCCCAGCUGGUCCUGACUGAGCUGACUGGAAAUGUUCUCUGCAGGGCAUGCUUUAACAGAGAGACAUGAAAAUCAAUUCCAACACUGGGAAGUUGUGAAUCCUGCUCCAGAAGUUUAUGUGCAUAGAAAUUCAAGAGGGGGGAUGUGGAACUUAGUUCUAAUGAUGGUUUACCACUAUUGUUUUCCUCAUUCAAUGAGGAAAGUACCUGUAACACUGUCUCAGCAUUCCCACCAUGUGUAGUCCUGGCUGCACCAGGGCAGAGUGUGUGUGGAAAGAGUAGAGCCUGAUACAGGGCUAGAGCCACUGAGUCUGGAAAGGAAUCUGCAGCAGCAAAUAAUGAAGGCUGGAAGCACAUUUAUAACUUCUUUCAGUGUUUUUCCAGCUACAUAUAUCCAUUUCCUUCCUUUCUUUUACCUGAGUUUAGUCACAUCACCACUGGGAGGGAACAGGGCAUCCAUUUCUCAAUCCUGAGGGCCAGCAGCAAUGCUUGAACUAAAAAAAGUGUUGGAUUGUGCAUCAUUAGCAUCAGCCACUGAGAACACUAAUUGUUCUUGCAAAAUUCUGGUCUGAUUUUGUUUUUGCUCAAAAGAUGAUCUAAGAGAAGAAGUGGCAAUUUCAUGUUAACCACUUCAGCUCGUUUCUGAAAUAACUGAUCCUGAAAUAAAUCCUGUGGUGAAAUUGA
Passer montanus (Eurasian tree sparrow) is the source of this 2153-nucleotide long non-coding RNA. RefSeq lists it as uncharacterized. The transcript is spliced from 2 exons. Lineage: Eukaryota; Metazoa; Chordata; Aves; Passeriformes; Passeridae. The record is from RefSeq and is a predicted model, not a curated record.